Molecule: ribosomal RNA, 542 nt
Filed under: Fusarium equiseti
Lineage: Eukaryota; Fungi; Ascomycota; Sordariomycetes; Hypocreales; Nectriaceae
Description: eukaryotic LSU rRNA
Rfam family: 5.8S ribosomal RNA (bases 185-338)
Source: RNAcentral
AGGUCUCCGUUGGUGAACCAGCGGAGGGAUCAUUACCGAGUUUACAACUCCCAAACCCCUGUGAACAUACCUAUACGUUGCCUCGGCGGAUCAGCCCGCGCCCCGUAAAAAGGGACGGCCCGCCCGAGGACCCCUAAACUCUGUUUUUAGUGGAACUUCUGAGUAAAACAAACAAAUAAAUCAAAACUUUCAACAACGGAUCUCUUGGUUCUGGCAUCGAUGAAGAACGCAGCAAAAUGCGAUAAGUAAUGUGAAUUGCAGAAUUCAGUGAAUCAUCGAAUCUUUGAACGCACAUUGCGCCCGCCAGUAUUCUGGCGGGCAUGCCUGUUCGAGCGUCAUUUCAACCCUCAAGCUCAGCUUGGUGUUGGGACUCGCGGUAACCCGCGUUCCCCAAAUCGAUUGGCGGUCACGUCGAGCUUCCAUAGCGUAGUAAUCAUACACCUCGUUACUGGUAAUCGUCGCGGCCACGCCGUAAAACCCCAACUUCUGAAUGUUGACCUCGGAUCAGGUAGGAAUACCCGCUGAACUUAAGCAUAUCAAUA